AUUGAACGCUGGCGGCAUGCCUUACACAUGCAAGUCGAACGGCAGCGGACCUUCGGGUGCCGGCGAGUGGCGAACGGGUGAGUAAUAUAUCGGAACGUACCUUUCAGUGGGGGAUAACGUAGCGAAAGUUACGCUAAUACCGCAUAUUCUGUGAGCAGGAAAGCAGGGGAUCGCAAGACCUUGCGCUGAUUGAGCGGCCGAUAUCAGAUUAGCUAGUUGGUGAGGUAAAGGCUCACCAAGGCGACGAUCUGUAGCGGGUCUGAGAGGAUGAUCCGCCACACUGGAACUGAGACACGGUCCAGACUCCUACGGGAGGCAGCAGUGGGGAAUAUUGGACAAUGGGCGAAAGCCUGAUCCAGCAACGCCGCGUGAGGGAUGACGGCCUCGGUUGUAA
Molecule: ribosomal RNA, 394 nt
Filed under: uncultured bacterium
Lineage: Bacteria
Description: bacterial SSU rRNA
Rfam family: Bacterial small subunit ribosomal RNA
Source: RNAcentral